CAUGUAUUUAUUAUAGAUUGAUAUAGACUUUGGGCAAGGAAUAUCAAUUCUAGUCUUAUCUUUCCUUACGAAUCUAUUGACUGUCGCCAUUGGUUCUUUACCGACAUAAGAUGAACAUAAACUAACUACCUUGUUGUCGAUCCAAGUAAUAACCGAUAAUUGAACGUCAUCUACGACUGAAGAUUCUCCACACAAUAGCCACAUUCACGUUUCAUCAAGGCUUUUUUCUGCAAAUCAAAACCUGGUACUCUGUUCAGCUGUAUAGUCCCUAACGGAAGGAAACCUUUUGAUGUAAAGUAGCCAUUAGUGGCAAACUUGUGUACCAGUUAUCCACAAAUAUUUUGUAAUUCAAAUUAUUUGGAACGGUCUGCAACAACCUUUGAACAAUAUUUCCCGGGACUCCUAGAUCUGAACAAUUUUCUGGUGGCCCACAAUGCUUUCCAAAGUCAUAACUGAAUCCAGUAGAUCCACUCAACACGUAGUUCAAAUAACCCCACUUAUGUGGUUUUUUGGCAUUGUACUGUCUUAUUUUUGAUGUACGAGCUUUGGUAGGGAUCAUUUGCUCAUCGAUUGCUAAAUAUUCUUCCUUUGGAACUUUUAAAAGCCUAUCGCGUAAUAUAUUUAAUAAUGGGCGUAUUUUCUGAAGUUUGUCAUAAUUGGGAUCGUUUUAGGCUUUCGCUCUUUAUUUUUGUCAAAAAUAUGUAAAACUCUUUUUACCUGUUCGAAUUUAUUGCAUGUCAUUACGGAUGCCACCUUUUCAAUAAAUGUCCCAUCUUUUCAAUAAUGACGCGUGGUAGGAAUAUGUAGUACUGACAUAUAAAUUAAAAUUCCAAUAAAUUUCCGGAUGUCUUCAUGGGUCACUUCAGUCGAAUUUUCUGGUGCAAUUUGAGUUGCAUAUAAUAUUACUCUGAGUUUCUAUUAAGUCAAUCACUGAUGAUGGAAACAGAAACUUGAAAAAUUCCAUGGGUGUUUCUAGCCGCUUAAUUUCGUCGGGAAGGGAUUUAUACAAGAAAAACGUUACUUGAUUCAUUAUACUCAAUGCCUUCAUCUGUCCACACUGCCUUAACCUUCUUAGUUUUUUUCACCGUCGAAGAUGAAGAAGGCUGAUUUAUCAUAACUUGUUCCUCAUCACCAGAAUCAGAAUCGCUACUGCUUACUUCACUUUCUGGUAAAUAAACACUUUCUAAAGGCUUAGGAAUUGACAACAUUUCAAAACUGAUACGACAUGGAAACAAAAAUACCAUUUCUUUAUUUUCGUAUCCUGAGUUCAAAUAUAUUUAUUUCAUAUUUUUUUUAUUUGUCAUUUCUGAGAAAAAUAAUUAAAAUCACAAAACGUGUGAUGACGUCAUACAUACGGCAGAAUGCAGUCGUUACCUUUGCCUUAGCAUUUAUGGUUUCAGAUGAAAACAUCAAGUGUCAAAUGUCAAUGUUAAUGUCACUUGAAGUUGUAACUUGAAAAUAUUUACAUUCGAAAUCGAAAUUGAUUUUACACAAUAUUUUUCUAUCGAAUCGACACACUGCUUAUUUUUAUUAUUAACAACUGUUCAAAACAAUGGAUUUCAAUGAAACAUAUACGCCAAUGAAGGAUCCAAAAUAUUGUUUUGUACCAGCCUGCAAAAACAAUUCUAGAGAUACCCAAAAAACUUUUUUUGCGGAACUCAACAAAACAAGAGUGGUGCAAUGCUGUGGGUAGAUCAUGUCCUAAACGUGUUAUAUAUAUAUGCGAAGAUCAUCUCAAUUUGGAGGAAGAUUUGGAGAACUAUUGGUAUUGGACAACAAUGAAAAUGCGACCGAAGUUGAAGACUCGGCUACCACAAUCUCUUGUGAAGAUACCAAUUUCAACUGUUCUUCAAGAAAUUAUUGAACCUCAACCCAGCACAUCUUCAACAGCUUCCUCAUCACUUCAUUCAGUUUGUAAAAAUCCAUUCACUACAAAAGCCAGCAAAGGAGUACAAGUGAAGCCAAAAACAUCAGAUAGAAUUACUUAUUGCACCAUUUCCAAAAAGAAGAUAAAGAAACCUUUAUCUGAAGUUGAUGAGAUGGAAGAAAUGGUGUUGCCUUCAACACAAGGAAGUUCUACUUCUAUUGAAAUGUCAGAAAUCUCAUCAGAAAUCUACACUAAAACUGUAAUUCAGACCCGGAGAACCUUUAUGCUUGACCUUAUUAAAAAAAACCACAAAAUUAUAUAGGCUUACCAAAGAAUUAUUAUUGGUUAAUUAGUUAUUUAGAAAGUAAUCUCAAUGUAAAAUCUAUAGAUAUAAUAGUAACUUUGUAUAAGAUUAAGAAUAAUACCCCUUUCUACCAAAUCUCGGAUUUUUUUGAGAUAUCAUUAACCACAUUAUGGAGAAUA
This is an RNA transcript of Spodoptera frugiperda (fall armyworm), 2350 nucleotides long. RefSeq lists it as uncharacterized. NCBI's taxonomy places the organism in Eukaryota, Metazoa, Arthropoda, Insecta, Lepidoptera, Noctuidae. The record is from RefSeq and is a predicted model, not a curated record. The transcript has 2 exons.